UACGUAGGGUGCAAGCGUUGUCCGGAGUUAUUGGGCGUAAAGAGCUCGUAGGCGGUCUGUCGCGUCGGCUGUGAAAACUCGGGGCUCAACUCCGAGCUUGCAGUCGAUACGGGCAGGCUAGAGUUCGGCAGGGGAGACUGGAAUUCCUGGUGUAGCGGUGAAAUGCGCAGAUAUCAGGAGGAACACCGGUGGCGAAGGCGGGUCUCUGGGCCGAUACUGACGCUGAGGAGCGAAAGCGUGGGGAGCGAACAGG
RNAcentral lists this ribosomal RNA (253 nucleotides) under uncultured bacterium. RNAcentral's name for it is "partial 16S ribosomal RNA". It matches the Rfam family "Bacterial small subunit ribosomal RNA", at positions 524 to 776 of the family's 1533-position model. The record is from RNAcentral.